UACCUGUGAUGAAGAGAUUCUGCCAAAUGAUUUCUUUGAUUAUAACCCUUACCGUUCCAUUAUUUCUGAGGUU
RNAcentral lists this small nucleolar RNA (73 nucleotides) under Mola mola (ocean sunfish). RNAcentral describes it as "Small nucleolar RNA SNORD47 (ENSMMOG00000020019.1)". It matches the Rfam family "Small nucleolar RNA SNORD47". From Rfam's summary of the family: U47 belongs to the C/D class of snoRNA which contain the C (UGAUGA) and D (CUGA) box motifs. Most of the members of the box C/D family function in directing site-specific 2'-O-methylation of substrate RNAs. The record is from Rfam by way of RNAcentral. Lineage: Eukaryota; Metazoa; Chordata; Actinopteri; Tetraodontiformes; Molidae.